This 8303-nucleotide long non-coding RNA is filed under the name Marmota monax (woodchuck). The record is from RNAcentral. Lineage: Eukaryota; Metazoa; Chordata; Mammalia; Rodentia; Sciuridae.
GUUGAAUCUGGCAAUGUGACAUCACAGAUAUGGAGGACCUUAUGUCUAUUGAUUGAUGUAGGCUAUUUCAGUUUGACUUUAUUGUGUUGUGACUAAUCUUGCAUAAAUCCUUUUGUGAACAUAUUUUCAUUGCUUUUUUACAAAUAGGUAGAAGUGGAAUUUCUUGGUCAAAUAUGAUAAUUUUUAUUUUAUUUUAUUUUAUUUUUGUAGUCCUGCCUCAAUCUGUAUCCAUCUUCAUCUAGAGUUAUUGGUGUUGUACCCUAUAUUGCUAGUUUUCUUUUAACCUCAUUUGUUUUCUCUUGACCUACACAUCUUUGAUUCAUUAAGACUCUGUUUCUUGUAUAAUAUUGAGAGUGCCAGUUUUUAGAUGCUUUCUUUUUUUCUGUUUCAUCAGGAGGAUUUUUUUCAGAAAGUGGACCUUUCCUUUAUUUGAGAGUUAUCCAAUUUCAAGAGUAAGAUUCUGAUAAUGAUUACCUGAUAAAAUUAGUAAAUACCAAAUCUGAAGUAAAAUCAUAAUUUGACCUUCAUAUUAAUAUAUUCAUUCUGUUCUUUGGCCUUGUUUUAUCAUGGAUUCCAUCUUUCUCUUUACUUUUAACUUAUGUUCAAAGAAAGAGAGAUGGAUACUGACCAUGCUAACUGGGAAGUUAAAUUGUCUUGAUUUUACUUCCUAUCUGAGUUAGUACUAAUCACAAGUGGAUGGGCAUUGUUCCAAGUUCAAGACUCAAUUUCUAGCAGAUAUUCAUGGCUAUGUUGGGUUGAGGUGGAGGUGCCUUCUAUGCCUAUGUUUUGUUUUCUAGUCAUCUUAGCUGAUGACUAGCAGAUCUGGGAAAAUCGACAGAACUUCCUGCAACUCUAAAGCUUUGUUCUCCUCACUUUCACUGCUUUGUAUGGUGACAUGCUUUCAGGUAUCCAUGGAACUCACACAAAUUUCCCCUAAGCUUCCUGCUUGUGCAUGUUGACAUUGAAUGCAGUUUGUGGUAGUUUAAAGAUUUGAUGGGAAAGGAAGCUGAAUGGACUCCCUAUCACCACAAAAAAAGGAGAACCCCUGAAUUUGAAGGAUGAUUGCCUAGAAUUUCAUUUGAACAGAUGGCUGUUGGUCCAGGAGAAGGGCAUUCAGUAGGAGAGAGAGAAAAUAUCAUUGGCUCUUUUCUUCAGGCAGAUGUAGCUCUUCUUUUUCAUGAAACAAUACUGAGUCAGCGCAAACAUUGUUUUCUUCAGUCUAAUCCAUCAAGUUUAAAGAUAGCAGGGCCAUUUUGGAAUUUUGACAAGGGCUUAUUUAUCAACCGUGGUUUGUGUUGUUUUUGUGAAUUUCCUUAUUUUUCUGUGUCUUAUUGAGAAGUUAGAGGAUAUAGCAUCAAAAUUUGUUUGCCAAUUUCAAGAGUGAGAUUCUCAUAAUACUUAACUGAUAAAUUAGUAAAUACCAAAUCUGAAGUAAAAUCAUAAUAAUGGAAAACACAUAGUACUUGUGGAAUACCAGACACUACUCUGAAUAAACUAAAUUGAGGUAAAUUAUAGGAUUAAUUAGUUAAUUAAUUUAUAGUCCAUUCUUAGAAUGUGAACUUUUGGGGGGUACGUAUCAAGUUUUGACUUUUAAUACUGGCAUGAAUUAAAGUGUCCAAAUUAUGCUCAGAAUUCAAUGAAAUUAAAUUAAUAGUAACACUGGGAACUGGACUUAGUAUUUUGCAGAGAGAGAACAUUCAAACAGAGUGAACAAAGUGGUUUCCUGUGCAUUUAUCUCUCUGUCUCUCUCUGGCUUUUUGUCUAUCCCUCCUUUUCUUAUUUAGUUUUCAAGCAAUUGUGGAAACUCAGCAUAUUUUAAAGAUAAUUUUUAAAGAAAGAUAUACAGUAAACAAUGCUUUUUUAAUAGUUUAAAAGAAGAUAACAUCCUAAAAAAUGACUGAAAAGUACAUGCUGACACAUUUAGUGAGUGCUGUGACACCAGAGGAGCACAGUACUCUGAAGCUGCCCAUGUUGAUGCGUAGACAAAUACGUGAUUGUGUAAUAUACAGAGGUCCUGUGGACGGUGUGCAUAUAGCACUAGAGGAAAAAACCAAACAAAAACAAACAAACAAAAAACAGGAAAGCUUUCCUGACUAGAAAAACUGUGAGGUGCAAUGCAUAUUACUUAGCCAUCUGAAAUCCAAAGAGGGCUAGUGCUUCUUUUUUUAGAACACUUCUGGUGAGUGGUUCACCAGGUAUUAGUUUCCAUCAAAUUUAGUCUGGAUUUGUUUGGGCCCUUUCCACAUUUUUAUGCUGUUUCCGUAAGACAUUUUUUUUUUCUGAAAUCCUAGAAAUUAUUUGAUGCUUGACUCAGGUUUCUUCCACCUGACCUGAGAAAGCAAAUGCUCAGAGGAAGGGUCACCUUAGUUCCCUCAGUGGGGCUUGUGAUGUCCACAUGUGGACAGCCCUCACUGCAAUCCCCUGGAGGAGGGCUGGUAUUAGGCAGUGCUGGUUGGGGACUCAAGGAAGGAAAUGAUGGUCAUAUCUUCCCUUCUUCCAGGUCUCUUAUUUGGCAUCCUGUGCACCUCCAUGGCUGUGGCCGCAUCUCUCCUGGGGGGCGUUGUACAGGUAACUAACAAGGGAAAAGACACAUUUAACUUCAUAGCAACUUUGUCCUCACUCAUUUUUCUAAUGUUUUAACUAUUUCUCUAGUCUCCAACUACUGAUAUUCAAACAUAUCAGGUCCCAAUUAAACAUCCAUGCAAUAUUUCAACCAAAAGUAUCUUCAGAAGCAGAAACUUCUACAACAAGAAUGGAUAGAGACAAAGUUCACUGUGUUAAAAUUAAUUUAAAAAUUCUAUCAAUAAUAACCAUAAUAGUGAAAACACCAAUUAACAUAUAUAAUACCUAUUAUGAACUAGGUAUAGCCCUUUAUGUAUUACCUAAUUUAAUGUUUAUAACUUUCUUAAGGGGUUAUGUAAUUAAUAUAUUCAUUUUCCUGAUGAAGAAACAAAGAAUUGUCCCAAACUCACACAAUUAAUGAGUGGUGAAAUUAGGAUACAACUAAGUAUUAUUAUCAAAAUCAAACUGUUGCUCAUAUAUUCAACUCCCAGUUCCAUAAAACAUUAGCAUUACAAGGAAGCACAAGAAUAAUCUAUUGCAACACCUUCAUUUUGUAGAUGAUUGUAGAAAAGAAUGAAAAUAUCCUGCUUAAGUUCUCACAGCUACCUGGGAUUGAUUGAACCCAAGGGGCUUUAGUUACAUCCCCAUCCCUUUUUAAAUUUUUUAAAUUUAUUUUGAGACAGGGUCUCACUAAGUUGCUUAGGGCCUUGCUAAGUGGCUGAGGCUAGCUUUGAAAUUGCAAUCCUCUGUGUUGGUUCCUAAGUCACUAGAAUUACAAGUCUGUUCCACUGCGCCUAGCUAUGAUAUGGGUUUUCAAUAAAUGCUGCCUAAUUGAAGAAAUGAGUAAGAGUAAAUGAAUAGAAACCACUGGAUAGUGAACAGCAAUGGUAAGAUUGAGUGGAUAUUAAUAAAAUAGAAUCCAUAUUAUAUAUAUAUAUAUAUAUAUAUAUAUAUAUAUAUAUAUAUACCUUCUAGUUCACAAAAGGGUUCAUCCUACUUUCUCUUUCAAAGGACUACUUACAUAGCUUCAGUUAUUUCCAUUUUAAUAUUCAGAGAAUAAAUCUGAGAUAUUUAAGUGACUUGAUUACUUACUGUUUAAAGAAGAUAAUUUGUGGAAUCAAUUUAGUAUCCUUUCUGUUAAGUUGUGAACUUACUAUUUAUCACAGAUACUUGAUUAUAAUCCUUUUACACAGCUUGAAGUAUACUGAUAUUUCCCUAUCCACAAGAAACACUGGCAACUAGGUGAAGUUUGUUUUUAGUGACCUCAUGUGCAUUUUUUAAAGGUUUAUUUUCACAAUUCAUGGAAUCUCUAUUUCUAAUCUACUUCCAAAGCCUUGAGGCUUGUUGUUUUCAUUUGGUAUUUAUUCUUUAAGAGGUGUCAACCUGUUUAAUUUGGUGAUAAUUUGAAUCUCUAAAUUGUUUCCUCCCAAAAAUAUUUGCAUUGGUAAAUGAGGGGGCUCCAGAGAAGGCCAGGACUUUCCCAAGUACUGGGGAAAAAUAACAGAGUAGGGAGUGCAUUGAGGGAUGCACUCACCUGCCUGUCCUACUUUAGAUGAGAGUUGGGCUCACUUUCCUGAUUGAAAUGUGUGCCACAGGGAGGAAGAGCAGGAAGAAAAGAUUAACAUUAAACAGAUACAUGAGGUGGGAUGGAAAGGGAGAGAAAAGGGAAAUUGCAUGGUAAUGGAGGGAGACCCUCAUUGUUAUACAAAAUUACAUAUAAGAGGUUGUGAGGGGAAUGGGAAACUAUCCAAGGAGAGAUAUGAAUUACAGUGGAUGGGGUAGAGAGAGAAGAUGGGAGGGGAGGGAGGGGGGAUGGUAGAGGAUAGGAAAGGUAGCAGAAUACAACAGUUACUAAUAGGGCAUUAUGUAAAAAUGUGGAUGUGUAACCGAUGUGAUUCUGCAAUCUGUAUUUGGGAUAAAAUUGGGAGUUCAUAACCAACUUGAAUCUAAUGUAUGAAAUAUGAUAUGUCAAGAGCUUUAUAAUGUUUUGAACAACCAAUAAAAAAAAUUAAAAAAAAAAAAAGAAAAAAAAAAAGAAAUGUGUGCCACACAGUUCAUGAAGUAUAGGAGAUGCUGGCAGGUAAGAAAUGAAGCCCUGAUAUUCCACUUCCUUGGAGAUGUAUUUGUCUCCAAGAUGGUCCAUUCAUUUUUGUGAACACAUCUGACUUUGUUGGACACAUAAAAGCAACUGAAAUUUUUCUAUGUUUUAAUUGGUUCUUUCUAGUUAUACAUGAUAAUACAAUUCAUUCUGGCAUACUUAUAAAAGCAUGGAACAUAAUUUGUCCUGGUUCAGUCCUCAGUACUUCCCUUUUCCCUCUCCUCCUCCCUCCCUCUGUUCUCCUCCCUCUACUCUACUGAUCUUUCUGCUAUUUACUUAUAUAUAUAUUUAAACUCAGUGUCUUUUGAAUAUACUUGAUGUUGAUAUUCAAUGAAAUAUAUUUAUAUAUGUGCAUAGGAAAGUUAGGUCAGACACUUCUCAAAACAAGAAAUACAAAUAUAUGAAGUUGAUCUAUUUAAUUUUCCAAACAGUUUUGCUAUAUUUGAUUUAAUGAAACAUUAUUCAUAUUCUGAUGUUGCAUGUAGAAGAAGACAGGAACCCAAAUCUCUCAGUGUGAAGGAUAGAGCCAGUUUUAAUUUCAUGUUUGCAAAACCACCCCACACGUAUGAGAUGUUCUUGAAGGUGGGGCAGGAAUGACAGACCACUUAAACAAAGGCAGGCCGGUUCAAUGUGUGGCUGUUCUUGUUGUCAUUUUUUAAUUUGGUUUAUUUCAGAGAUUUUGUUUGCUUGUGUAGCAAUGCUGGUGUAAGACUUUAGUUUGAAAUGUUACAAAGUAUGUCCUGGAGAAUGUUAUCCUGUGAAAUGUGUCACACAUGUUCCAAGGAAGAAGAUUUUCAUAGUCAAAGACUGGAACAUGGUGCACACUGCAUUGCUCUCUCAGAUCCACAACACACAUUAAUACAUUGAAGACUCUGGGAAAUCCAACAGUAAGGAAACCUGUUUCACUUGAAAUGUGUAACCACAGAACCAUAAUAAGGUGGGAGAGGGGAGAGAGAUCAGAUAAUGGUAACAAAAAUCUCCCUUUAGCAAGAGAAUUGCAGCCUUCCUUCUAGAAAGGUCAUUCUAACCAACACACACCUGUCCUAAGGACUGUCAGCUAAGGGCUGAAGUGACAUGAGGAUACAUUUUUAAUCUCAUCCGAAGAAAGUACUUUCUAGAUCUCAAAACAUUACAACAACAAAGGAUAUCCCUCAAAAAUUUAGAGAUCACUAACAGGGUAGGUAAUAGCAGCAAUGAAGAUUGUGAGAGUCAUAGUGCACAUUCUGGGCCCCUUAUCAUGUGCUCCCUGGUGCUCAGACAUUAUUCUGAACUUUCUCUUGGAUUCGACAUUGAAUACUAACUAAAACAAUAAAAAAAAUACAGAAAAAAACACUAGGAAGCAGAUAUUAUGAUGUGCCCUUGACACAUGAGGAAUAAAGCAUGGAAAGGUCAAUUAUGCAUAAGCUCCUCAGUCAACCCUGAACACAAAGCAUAUUCCUGUAGACAUUGCUGUUAACUUGUAGGAAUAGCUCAGAUUGGAUUUUGAGCAUUAAGGAGAAAACUGAGUUUGAUGAGCUUUAACUCUUCCUCCAAUUAAACAUGUUUAAUAACAAAAAGAAAGAUAAAAGUUAAAAGUAAUUUGCUUUGUCCAACACAGAAAUACAUAUGUAUAUUAUAUUUCAACACACACACACACACACUUAAAUCCAGAAACUCUUGGAUAUUUUUUUUCCCUGAGGCAUCUGGCUAGCGACUUUGUAAGAGCUUGUUGAUUUUUAUUUCAUGAAGGAAGAGAAAUGUAUUUACUAUUUCAUUGAUCUUCUAUAUAAUAGCCAGUAAAUUAGCUUCCAAAUUUAGCAACUACAGCAACUAUGAAUUAGUGCUGUUGAUCAAUAGAGGAAAUAUCAAGAAUAUUCAAUUGAGAAUAAUGGGGAAAAGGAAGCCUUUAAUCUUACCUGCUCCAUCAUGUCAAAGACAUAUCUGAAGCACUGACUUUGCUAAAAAGUAACCUGGGAAAGCAAUACUAACAAUGCAUAGCAGCUCAUCUUUCUGGACAAAGACAGAGUGUUCUGGAUAUGAACACUGAAGAGGACUGGAAGGUCUGUUGCCCCUGCAUAGUUUUAUAGAGAAAGAAGAAAACUGCAGUUGAAUGAAUGUGAGUUAGUAACAGAAAGUUCAACAAAUCCUAGUGAUGUGGGUCAGGGCAAUAAUUACAAUUCAAAUAUUCUAAAUAUAAAUGGUGGAUUCUUUCAAAAGAUUGCUUUUCCUUUAAACAGAAGAAUUAGGACAUAGUGGUCUGUGCUCUUGACAUUCUUUUGUAAGACUACUUUUAGAAAGAAAAUGUAGAAUUUGGAGCCAUAACAAUUUGAAUUUAUAUCUUUACCUCUGCCACUUGCUAAAUACAAAGUGAACUUUGAUAUUUUCUUUCAGCACCAAUUUUCUCAGAUACAAAAUUUAGUUAGUGUUACCUAUUAAGAUGAGUGACUGUGAGGAUUAAAUUUGUCCAGGGUGCACAAGCAGUUCUGUCUUGCAUAUAGUUGGCCCCUGAAAAAUAGGAUAAGAUCUUAGAUAAGAUCUGUCCUCUGUAAGUGCUUUGAGGAACUGGAAGGGGCUUCAUUGACAGUAGUUGGUGUGAGUACAUGCACACAAGUGUAUAUUUAUGUGUUUCUUCAUUUGCAUAGGCUCAUUCACUUGCACAUAAAUGCACAUGCAUUUUCUAACUCUUGGAAGACCAUGGAAUAAAGCUUUAUGUUUACAGAAAAUUAGUUUAAAGAAAGUCCCUGGCCAAUUCAAUGGAGUCUAUAACUUAGAAGUUGAAAGAUGUGGAAAUACACUUCUCAAACUCUCUCAAUUUCCAAACUAGAUGGAGCAUAAUCAUGAGAGACAAAAAAUGGAAGGUGGAGUGUAUAAUGUCCUCUCCACAUGUCUGAACUUAAUGUUUCAAUAUCCUAGAGAUGUAAUGGGUGGGAUGGUAGUGGUUGGGUAACAGACAAAAAAGAAAGAAUGAAAGAAAGAAUUGUUCAAACUAAGCUAAAUAGUUUAUCAACUAAGAUAUAAAAAAUGUAGUAGACAUAUUUAUUUAGUACAUUAUUUUUAUUUUUCCACAUUUUUAUUGGUGCAUUAUAGUUUUACAUAAUGAAGGGAAUUGUUGUUACUUAUAACAAUAUAAUACAGUACAUUAUUUUUCAAAAACAAUUUUUUAGGAUGCUCGUAACUGACCCAAGGCCCUUGUGCAUGUUAGGCAAGCACUAACCUAUAUCUCUAGUCAAAAAAAGAAAAAAAACAAAUAACUUUUGAUAAUAUAAAAAUAUAAACAAAUGUAUAAGUUCCAACUCAAGUGAAACCUUCUUCAAGCAAAUCCAAAUCACCUGUUUUCACUUUGCAACCAUACAUAUGUGCACAUAUACUCACACAUAUAUACAAGCAUGUGUGUGGGUUCAUAUGUAUGUAACUUUCCUUUUUAUUUAUUUAUUUUUUCAGUUUCUUUUUUUAUACAAUGCUUAUCACUGGAUCCAGAAUUGACCUAAGGAAAGCACAUAAUUAAUAAAUGGCACAGUCUGGACUUGAACCAAAUUAUAUCAAGUCCCAGAGAAGGAUGGUUCUGGUAGAACACAGAUAUAGUAGAGUUGUGAGACUCAUCUGAUCUCCUUCAUUCCACAGGCUGCCCUCAGCAUCCAUGGAAUGUGUGGGGGACCAAUGCUGG